RNAcentral lists this long non-coding RNA (375 nucleotides) under Erythranthe guttata (spotted monkey flower). RNAcentral's name for it is "long non-coding RNA (EGUT_LNC001527)". The record is from RNAcentral. Lineage: Eukaryota; Viridiplantae; Streptophyta; Magnoliopsida; Lamiales; Phrymaceae.
GGCGAACGGAAAUGAGGGCUUUGGUACACGGGAACCCCUCUAAUCGGCCUCGUCAAGAAACAGAGUUCUUCGCAGGAGAGCCCUUGAUGGAGGUGGUGCUUGAGCGAAUGGAAGACAUCAGCGCCGUGUCGGAGCCGCCGUGGAGGAGGUGGCGGUGAAAAUACUGAUUCGAGGGGGAGGAAUUAUCUUGUGGGAAUAAUGUUUAGAAUAAUUAGAGGAGUUGUUUGAGGAAGGCUUGGCAACGUCGGCCAUUGAAGAGGAGAUAAAAUUGAUGAAGUUUCUUGAAUUGAGGGCUAUUCUCCAGAACGCCAUAUCCACCACCUCAUCUUCAUCGGAAGUUCUUCUCCAGCUGCUUGAAGAAGACGAGGAUUGAAG